GACGAACGCUGGCGGCGCGCCUAACACAUGCAAGUCGAACGAGCGAGAGAGAGCUUGCUUUCUCAAGCGAGUGGCGAACGGGUAAGUAACGCGUGAGGAACCUGCCUCAAAGAGGGGGACAACAGUUGGAAACGACUGCUAAUACCGCAUAAGCCCACGGCUCGGCAUCGAGCAGAGGGAAAAGGAGCAAUCCGCUUUGAGAUGGCCUCGCGUCCGAUUAGCUAGUUGGUGAGGUAACGGCCCACCAAGGCGACGAUCGGUAGCCGGACUGAGAGGUUGAACGGCCACAUUGGGACUGAGACACGGCCCAGACUCCUACGGGAGGCAGCAGUGGGGAAUAUUGCACAAUGGGGGAAACCCUGAUGCAGCGACGCCGCGUGGAGGAAGAAGGUCUUCGGAUUGUAAACUCCUGUUGUUGGGGAAGAUAAUGACGGUACCCAACAAGGAAGUGACGGCUAACUACGUGCCAGCAGCCGCGGUAAAACGUAGGUCACAAGCGUUGUCCGGAAUUACUGGGUGUAAAGGGAGCGCAGGCGGGAAGACAAGUUGGAAGUGAAAUCUAUGGGCUCAACCCAUAAACUGCUUUCAAAACUGUUUUUCUUGAGUAGUGCAGAGGUAGGCGGAAUUCCCGGUGUAGCGGUGGAAUGCGUAGAUAUCGGGAGGAACACCAGUGGCGAAGGCGGCCUACUGGGCACCAACUGACGCUGAGGCUCGAAAGUGUGGGUAGCAAACAGGAUUAGAUACCCUGGUAGUCCACACCGUAAACGAUGAUUACUAGGUGUUGGGGGAUUGACCCCUUCAGUGCCGCAGUUAACACAAUAAGUAAUCCACCUGGGGAGUACGACCGCAAGGUUGAAACUCAAAGGAAUUGACGGGGGCCCGCACAAGCAGUGGAGUAUGUGGUUUAAUUCGACGCAACGCGAAGAACCUUACCAAGUCUUGACAUCCCUUGACGAUGCUGGAAACAGUAUUUCUCUUCGGAGCAAGGAGACAGGUGGUGCAUGGUUGUCGUCAGCUCGUGUCGUGAGAUGUUGGGUUAAGUCCCGCAACGAGCGCAACCCUUAUGGUCAGUUACUACGCAAGAGGACUCUGGCCAGACUGCCGUUGACAAAACGGAGGAAGGUGGGGAUGACGUCAAAUCAUCAUGCCCUUUAUGACUUGGGCUACACACGUACUACAAUGGCGUUAAACAAAGAGAAGCAAGACCGCGAGGUGGAGCAAAACUCAGAAACAACGUCCCAGUUCGGACUGCAGGCUGCAACUCGCCUGCACGAAGUCGGAAUUGCUAGUAAUCGUGGAUCAGCAUGCCACGGUGAAUACGUUCCCGGGCCUU
Molecule: ribosomal RNA, 1333 nt
Filed under: uncultured bacterium
Lineage: Bacteria
Description: bacterial SSU rRNA
Rfam family: Bacterial small subunit ribosomal RNA
Source: RNAcentral